AUUGACCUCGGAUCAGGUAGGGAUACCCGCUGAACUUAAGCAUAUCAAUAAGCGGAGGAAAAGAAACCAACAGGGAUUGCCUCAGUAACGGCGAGUGAAGCGGCAACAGCUCAAAUUUGAAAUCUGGCCCCGUCGGGGUCCGAGUUGUAAUUUGUAGAGAGUGUUUCGGGUGAGAAAAAGGUCUAAGUCUAUUGGAACAUGGCGUCAUAGAGGGUGAGAAUCCCGUAUGUGACCGUGGCUCGAGCCCAUGUGAAGCCUCUUCGACGAGUCGAGUUGUUUGGGAAUGCAGCUCAAAAUGGGUGGUAAAUUUCAUCUAAAGCUAAAUACUGGCUGGAGACCGAUAGCGCACAAGUAGAGUGAUCGAAAGAUGAAAAGCACUUUGGAAAGAGAGUCAAAAAGUACGUGAAAUUGUUGAAAGGGAAGCGCUUGCAACCAGACCUGUCCGUAGGUGAUCAACCGCUGUUCUCAGUGGUGCACUCGCUCUGCGAUCAGGCCAGCAUCGGUUCCGGCGGUCGGAUAAAGGCCUUGGGAAUGUAGCUGCCUUCGGGGAGUCUUAUAGCCCUCGGUGCAAUGCGGCCAGCCGGGACCGAGGACCGCGCUUCGGCUAGGAUGCUGGCGUAAUGGCUGUAAGCGACCCGUCUUGAAACACGGACCAAGGAGUCUAACAUCUAUGCGAGUGUUUGGGUGUUAAACCCAUGCGCGGAAUGAAAGUGAACGGAGGUGAGAACCCUUUAGGGCGCAUCAUCGACCGAUCCAGAUGUCUUCGGAUGGAUUUGAGUAUGAGCAUAGCUGUUGGGACCCGAAAGAUGGUGAACUAUGCCUGAAUAGGGUGAAGCCAGAGGAAACUCUGGUGGAGGCUCGCAGCGGUUCUGACGUGCAAAUCGAUCGUCAAAUUUGGGUAUAGG
Molecule: ribosomal RNA, 905 nt
Filed under: Usnea subfloridana
Lineage: Eukaryota; Fungi; Ascomycota; Lecanoromycetes; Lecanorales; Parmeliaceae
Description: eukaryotic LSU rRNA
Rfam family: Eukaryotic large subunit ribosomal RNA
Source: RNAcentral